Molecule: ribosomal RNA, 253 nt
Filed under: uncultured bacterium
Lineage: Bacteria
Description: partial 16S ribosomal RNA
Rfam family: Bacterial small subunit ribosomal RNA
Source: RNAcentral
UACAGAGGUCUCAAGCGUUGUUCGGAUUCAUUGGGCGUAAAGGGUGCGUAGGCGGCGCGGUAAGUCGGGUGUGAAAUCUCAGAGCUCAACUCUGAAACUGCACUCGAUACUGCUUUGCUUGAGGACUGGAGAGGAGAUUGGAAUUCACGGUGUAGCAGUGAAAUGCGUAGAUAUCGUGAGGAAGACCAGUGGCGAAGGCGGAUCUCUGGACAGUUCCUGACGCUGAGGAGCGAAAGCGUGGGGAGCGAACAGG